UUCUAAAAGACUCAGUCCCAGUGUGUGAGAGAACUGAGGUCUUAAACUGCUUUAGCAAACAUUUUAUAUCAUCUGGCUCACUGUUUGAGUCUUCUGGACUGACUUCUGUGACGUCUUGUCCAGAUCCUCCAGUGUUUUCUGGAGACCCUUUUACUUUUGUUCCCUUUACGGUACAACAAGUGCCCUUAAAGCCCUGGAUCAUAGAAAGCCCCCAGGACCAGACAUGAUAGAGGCCUACUUUUUAAAAAAGGCUGCUGAUUUUGUAGCACAGCCUCUUACAAUUCCUUUUAAUCUUUCGAUACAAAAUAAAGAGGUUCCUUUAGUCUGGAAGUCAGCUUUUGUUAUUCCCUUAUUAAAAGGAGGUGACCCAGCUGUUUUAACUAACUACAGGCCAAUAUCAAAUUUGUGUGUUUUGUCAAAGAUUCUUGAAUCUCUUGUUUGCGAUCAACUAAAAGAGUUUUUAUAUUCUAAUGAACUUCUCUCAAAACUGCAAUCAGACUUCAGGAAAAAAGCACAGCACCGUCACUGUGGCCACUAAGGUGAUAAAUUAUAUAAUUGUUGCUCUUGAUCAAAAGCAGUACUGUGCAUCUCUUUUUAUUGAUCAAAAGCUUUUGAAACUGUGGACCAUGCUGUCUUAAAGUACAGACUUUUUUGUUUGGGAAUGUCUGAUCAUGUGGUUUCCUGGUUGCCAAAUUAUUUAAGUAACAGGACUCAGUGUAUUAAAUAUGAUGGCUUGCCUUCUGAUUUUAUGAAUGCACACAAGGAGGUGCCAUAGGGUUCAAUCUUGGGUCCCCUCCUGUUCAUUAUGUACAUUAAUGACUUAGGAAAAAAACGUGUCAGAUGCUAAUAUGCAUUUUUAUGCCGAUGACACAAUUAUUUAUUGUUUUGGAUCGACUGUUGCUAAAGCUGUAGAAUCUCCGCAGAGAGCUUUUGAUGUUGUCCAGCACACAUUCCUGCAGCUAAAGUUGGUUCUCAAUGCUGAUAAGACUAAACUAAUGCUAUUUGGAAACACCAAAAAGGUGCCUCUGACGAUCCCCACUGUGUCCACUUUUGAAGGAAAUAUUAUAGAGAUGGUUCACACAUACAAAUAUCUUGGGUUCUUGAUUGAUGACUCCCUCAGUUUUAAGCCCCACAUCCAAAACCUUGUGAAAAAACUUUAACUUAAACUGGGCUUCUUUUUUAGAAACAAAAUAAUUUUUUCUUUUACGGUUAAAAAGCGGCUUGUCACAGCGACAUUUUUAUACAUUUUAGAUUAUGGAGACUUGUUAUAUAUGAAUGCCUCAGCACAAUAUCUUAAAAAAUUGAUGCUGUCUAUCAUGCUUCUCUGAGGUUUGUUACUAACUGUAAAGCCUCAACUCAUCAUUGUGAUCUGUACACUCGUGUGGGAUGGCCUUCGUUGUCCACCAGGAGGCUGGGACAUUGGUACACUUUUAUUUAUAAGGUUUUGCUUGGGCUGCUACCAUCUUACAUCUGUAAUCUAAUCACACAAAAAAGCGUUGAUUCACACUCAUUGCGUUCAAAUGAUUGUUUCUUGCUCUCUGUCCCAUUUCUCUGUACAGAAUUGGGGCUUUUGUUUACUCUGCCCCAUCUACAUGGAACAUGUUGCAAAAAGUCUGGAAGUUAACUGAACUGAUCCCAUUGACCGCCUUUAAAUCCAGAUUGAGGGCAUUAGAAAUUACUUCCUUGAAUUGCGAAUGUUUUUAAUAGUGAUUGUUUGUAUUGUGUUUUAACUGUGUAACUCUAUGUAAAUGUACACUUUUUGCUGCCUCUUGGCCAGGACUCCCUUGAAAAAGAGGUUUUUAAUCUCAAUGGGACUUUCCUG
Austrofundulus limnaeus is the source of this 1822-nucleotide long non-coding RNA. RefSeq lists it as uncharacterized. The record is from RefSeq and is a predicted model, not a curated record. The transcript is spliced from 2 exons. NCBI's taxonomy places the organism in Eukaryota, Metazoa, Chordata, Actinopteri, Cyprinodontiformes, Rivulidae.